UUUAUUCUCUUUUUCAUCAAGAGCGAUAAGACCAUCUCUUGGGUGGAAAAGAUGUUUCUGGGAGACGGACGAGUAUUCACUGGCUGCUCAGUCAGUUGGAGGCCGUCAACCGCGGGGUGCUGCGGAGUUUUCCAAAGAUGAGAAGAGGAGGUAAUGUGCUCCUUGCUUCCGGUGACAUUGCUGUUUGGUUAGGAGGGCUAACAGGAGAGAGGGGAAAAAGAGGUUCCAGCUCCCUCAUAUAACGGCUCUACAGUCAUGCACCCCGGUCCUUGGCAGCACUGUAAAUUCCUUCUCUCUGAAUUGUUGGUUCGGGACAAUCAUUCAGCAGGGAAUUACUUUCUCAUCUAUGAAAUAA
Molecule: long non-coding RNA, 355 nt
Filed under: Ictidomys tridecemlineatus (thirteen-lined ground squirrel)
Lineage: Eukaryota; Metazoa; Chordata; Mammalia; Rodentia; Sciuridae
Description: lncRNA (ENSSTOG00000030964.1)
Source: RNAcentral